Molecule: ribosomal RNA, 478 nt
Filed under: uncultured bacterium
Lineage: Bacteria
Description: partial 16S ribosomal RNA
Rfam family: Bacterial small subunit ribosomal RNA
Source: RNAcentral
GAUGAACGCUGGCGGCGUGCUUAACACAUGCAAGUCGAACGAGAAAUGGAGACGGAAACCUUCGGGCGGAAGGCUUCAUUUCGAGUGGCGGACGGGUGAGUAACGCGUGGGUAACCUGCCUCAUACAGGGGGAUAACAGUUGGAAACGACUGUUAAUACCGCAUAAGACCACAGCACCGCAUGGUGCGGGGGUAAAAACUCCGGUGGUAUGAGAUGUACCCGCGUUCGAUUAGCCAGUUGGCGGGGUAACGGCCCACCAAAGCGACGAUCGAUAGCCGAUCUGAGAGGAUGACCGGCCACAUUGGGACUGAGACACGGCCCAAACUCCUACGGGAGGCAGCAGUGGGGAAUAUUGCACAAUGGGGGAAACCCUGAUGCAGCGACGCCGCGUGAGUGAAGAAGUACUUCGGUAUGUAAAGCUCUAUCAGCAGGGAAGAAAAUGACGGUACCUGAGUAAGAAGCCCCGGCUAACUACGUG